RNAcentral lists this unclassified non-coding RNA (225 nucleotides) under Melitaea cinxia (Glanville fritillary). RNAcentral describes it as "misc RNA ENSMCXG00005016903.1". The record is from RNAcentral. Lineage: Eukaryota; Metazoa; Arthropoda; Insecta; Lepidoptera; Nymphalidae.
UUUUCGUCGACCUACGUUGUAUUAUACCGCAUAACUUUCUACUGAAUGUACCGAUUUUGAUAAUUCUUUUUUUGUUGGAAAGGAGAUAUCCCAAGUUUAGUACCAUGAUAAGGAAAUCAGGAUCUGAUGAUGGGAUCCUAGAUAAAUCGAGGGAAACUCUUGAAAAUCCGCAAUAACUUUUUACUAGGUGUACAGAUUUUAAUGAUUUUUAAUUUAAUCGAAAGC